UUCUUCCUGUCUACUAUAUUAUUAACAUUAAUAUUUAGUGUUGAAAGUGCUCUUUGGAAGUGUUAUUAUUAUAUUUUUUCAAGCACUUAAUCCCAUACAUUGCAUAGGGGAAUGUAUCUCUCCAUCUGGAUAUCUGUGCUCUACAGUGGAAAUACCAGAGCUGCUCAGAAAUGCAAAGCACCUGCAGCUCUUUUCAAGGGGUGGUAUCCAACUGUUGCCAGGGUGGAGUUAAUAUCUAGUUAAACAUUAACCCAGGGCUUGGUUCCAUCAUUUUAUAAUGUGUAACCUGCUGCAAGUAAAUGAUAAACUGUUCUGGGUGCAGCCCUGAUUGCCAAAUACUUAUAUUUCAUGUUGUUACUGUUCAGAGGAAAAGCAAAUAACUCUCAUUUGAAAACAGGUAAACAGAAAAGAUGCUGCAUACUGGUUUCUUGCUCUCCUGAAAAGGCAAGAAGAUAGUCAUUGCACUGGAAACUCUAUUGGCCAGUUCAAGAUUUUAUAUAUGUUUUUAAGACAACAGUACAAGUCUGGAAGCUCAUCAUGUGCUGAAGUCACUGUCUGGCCUCCCUGAGCCCUGUGGAGGAUUGUGCAAUCGUCACCCGUGUUCAUCAUCUGAGCAGCCCUGGGCAAGCAGAAUGUCCUCAGCCUGUCAGCGCAUUUGAAGGGUACGGUCUGCACCCUGAAGGUGCAGGGAGGGUAUGGUCUGCACCACAGCUCACCACCACAGUUCACAGAGCUGACAUCGGCACUCAGUGACUUGUGACAACCCUGUUACAAAGCAUGUGGUCACUGACUUCAGGCAGAAGCCAUGGGAUAGGGUUAUAUUAUUAUUACUACCGAGACUGUUGUUAUUGCAGUAAGUAUGAGCUGCUGACAGUAGAUGCCUCUCUGGAAAUAACUCAUCAAUCAUGAGAGCUGCCCACAGGAGGAGCCGCCCAGAGCCCUGAUCCGGCAGCACUUACGCAGCAGGAUGCCCGUGUUAUCAGUGAGGAAAUCCACACGCUUGACUCUACAUACGCAAGUGUCCUCACUAGUUCCUGAAGGCAGCAAAAAGAGAAAGUUCUACCCAUCCUCAUUCAGUUUGCUGCAGAACGAUGUUCUUGUUUGUUUCUGCCCUUCAAAAUAGUGAGUCAACUUGCCUCACUGAGAUUCAAACUGACCCUCCAGCAGUCCCUCUCAAACAUCAUUUUCUUUAUUAUAUCUCUUUUAUUUUCAAAUGUUUUGGGUAUAUAAAUACCUGUAAUAAACUAUAUUCCCGGAUCCUUAUGGUUACAUGUGAAACCAAAGACUUUAAUGUAACAGUUAAAAUUUUAGGAGAUUUCUUGCCACCACCCUGAUAUCUUGGUUGUUAGAAAAAUAAAAGCUUAUCAUCCAGUCUG
Molecule: long non-coding RNA, 1376 nt
Organism: Pezoporus occidentalis (night parrot)
Lineage: Eukaryota; Metazoa; Chordata; Aves; Psittaciformes; Psittacidae
Exons: 3
Source: RefSeq, a predicted model, not a curated record